Molecule: long non-coding RNA, 1578 nt
Organism: Astatotilapia calliptera (eastern happy)
Lineage: Eukaryota; Metazoa; Chordata; Actinopteri; Cichliformes; Cichlidae
Source: Ensembl
GACAAAUUGCACAUUAUAGUUUGUGGUUGAUAUUUGAAAAGUUGUGUUUAAAAAUACCUGAAAUACUUUGAGGUGUGAGUUGCAAAUGUGAAUGUCAUUAUUCUACUACUCAAUUUCCAAGCAGGGUGCUGCCCACAGAAGAGUAACUCGCAGGAAACUCAACGCAAGGUCCGGCCUACUUUAACCCAUGUCCUCCGCCCGCUUUAUAGAUGAAUAGAUGGAGAAACUUUAGACCUCAGUCAGGGAAAAAAGUCAUCCUAAUAGCACUCUGAAUUAUUGAUGAAAGCCAGAUUUCUGCUCUGUUAAUAAUACAUACAGAUGUUGACUUUUGUGAUGAUGCUCUAAGUGUUGAAACUGGAUAUCCUGGUUUUCUGAUGCUUAUUUUAGGAGAGAAACAUCUUCUAUUUGUACCAGCGAUUAACCUCAGCCACGAGGUCAGACCGUGUCAGAUCAACAAAAGUGCCUCGGUGCUUAUUUCUCUUCGUCUUUAGCUGCUAACAUCACGGUGUUUGGGUGACAGUGAGCCACAUCUCAUAUUUUGCGUCCAAGGAGCCAGACAUUCUUGUAAUAUUUUAAAGUGGUCUCAAAAAAAAAAAAAAAGUCAGACAUGGACAGCAACAUUUUAAUUAGGUGUGACUAACACUUAAUUGACUAUUUAUUUGUUGAUGAAAACAAACAUUUUAGAAUUAUAUCUUUCUAAGUCAUUAGGAGGCACUCAGCUGGUCUCAGCAGAUGAUAAAUCAAACUGACUCAAGUACAUCUAAGAUCUACUUUUGCCUAAAUAAAUAAAUAAAUAAAAUGAAAAUAAAACAAUACUUGACAUUUAAAAAAAAAAAGAAAAAAAAAGUGGUCUUGAGUAAUAGUUCUCCAGGCUUUCUGAUGGUCUUACAAAGAUCCUCUUUGGAAACUGGUUGUCUAAUUUUAGACUGCAUCUAUAGGCACUUUGCUACAAACAGCCUCUUGCAAAAACAGACUUGUUCCCAUAGCUUUAGUUGAAUCUAUGAAAAAAGUCAAUGAUAACACAGUUUGAUAGGCAUAUCCUCCUGAGACCCAGCCUGUUCAUUCAAGUCCUUUGUAGUGGACACAAAUCACAAUAAAAGUUAAACUGAAAAAUGCUUUCAUUUCCUCCAUUCUCAGGAGGAUGUAAUAGUGUUGCACCAACAAGGUGAUUCCCAAGUUAACUCGCGACGAUGACCAGGGCAUGUUGCGUCGGACCCCUUUUUCCAACACACACGUCCGGUACCACGUCACAACAAAUACGUCAUUUCCUGUUGAUUAAAAAAAAAAAAGCACCCUCAAACGGUCCUAGGGGCCGAAAAUGGUCCCGCCCGAUCAGCGGGCGAAGCCGCUGCUGCACGCCGGAAAUGAGGCUUCGUUUCCCGCAGGUCUGUUUAAGCAGCCCGCUGUUUUCCAGCCCGGGGUCAAAUGUGGAGCAAGGGCGCCACCCGGUGGACAAAUAAAAAAAUUACAACUCUAAGGCCAGUACUGCAAACGGAAACGGAAACAUAACCGAUCACGAUCGAUUUGACCGUAAUUUUUUUGCCGUGAAAAAUAGCGUUUAUAAUGGUUUUCAAUGGG